This 460-nucleotide ribosomal RNA is filed under the name uncultured bacterium. RNAcentral's name for it is "partial 16S ribosomal RNA". It matches the Rfam family "Bacterial small subunit ribosomal RNA", at positions 338 to 795 of the family's 1533-position model. The record is from RNAcentral.
CCUACGUGAGGCAGCAGUGAGGAAUAUUGGUCAAUGGACGAGAGUCUGAACCAGCCAAGUAGCGUGAAGGAUGACUGCCCUAUGGGUUGUAAACUUCUUUUAUAUGGGAAUAAAAUGUUCCACGUGUCGGAUUUUGUAUGUAUCAUAUGAAUAAGGCUCGGCUAACUCCGUGCCAGCAGCCGCGGUAAUACGGAGGAUCCGAGCGUUAUCCGGAUUUAUUGGGUUUAAAGGGAGCGUAGGUGGAUUGUUAAGUCAGUUGUGAAAGUUUGGGGAUCAACCGUAAAAUUGCAGUUGAAACUGGCAGUGUUGAGUACAGUAGAGGUAGGCGGAAUUCGUGGUGUAGCGGUGAAAUGCUUAGAUAGCACGAAGAACUCCGAUUGCGAAGGCAGCUCACUGGACUGCAACUGACGCUGAGGCUCGAAAGUGUGGGUAUCAAACAGGAUUAGAUACCCGAGUAGUC